GUCUUUUAGAUUUUAAUUUAAAGUCUAACCUGCCCCCUGAAUUUUUAAAUGGCCGCAGUAUUUUGACUGUGCAAAGGUAGCAUAAUAAUUAGUUUCUUAAUUAGGGACUGGAAUGAAAGGUUGAACGAAAAAAUAUCUGUCUUUAUUUUAAUUAGUUAGAAUUUUAUUUUUAAGUUAAAAAGCUUAAAUUUUUUUAAAAGACGAGAAGACCCUAUAGAGUUUUAUUAAUAUAAUUUUAUUAUAAAAAAUUGAAUUUUUGAGUUAUUAAAAUUAAAUUAAUUUAGUUGGGGUGAUUGUGAAAUUUAUUAAACUUUUAUUUUAUGCAAACAUAAAUUUAUGAUGUAUUGAUCCAUAUAAAUGAUUAUAAGAUUAAAUUACCUUAGGGAUAACAGCGUAAUUUCUUUGGAGAGUUCUUAUCAAUAAAGGAGAUUGCGACCUCGAUGUUGGAUUAAAAUUAAUUUUUGGUGUAGAAGCUAAAAAAUUAAGUCUGUUCGACUUUUAAAAUUUUACA
Molecule: ribosomal RNA, 511 nt
Filed under: Rodylopora sp. JP-2017
Lineage: Eukaryota; Metazoa; Arthropoda; Insecta; Coleoptera; Staphylinidae
Description: partial 16S ribosomal RNA
Rfam family: Bacterial large subunit ribosomal RNA (bases 385-511)
Source: RNAcentral